CCUACGGGUGGCAGCAGUGAGGAAUAUUGGUCAAUGGGCGAGAGCCUGAACCAGCCAAGUCGCGUGAAGGAUGACGGCCCUACGGGUUGUAAACUUCUUUUGUCAGGGAGCAAUUGGGUCCACGCGUGGGCUUAGCGAGAGUACCUGAAGAAAAAGCAUCGGCUAACUCCGUGCCAGCAGCCGCGGUAAUACGUAGGGGGCAAGCGUUAUCCGGAUUUACUGGGUGUAAAGGGAGCGUAGACGGCUGUGCAAGUCUGAAGUGAAAGCCCGUGGCUCAACCGCGGAACUGCUUUGGAAACUGUAUAGCUUGAGUACUGGAGAGGCAGGCGGAAUUCCUAGUGUAGCGGUGAAAUGCGUAGAUAUUAGGAGGAACACCAGUGGCGAAGGCGGCCUGCUGGACAGAAACUGACGUUGAGGCUCGAAAGCGUGGGGAGCAAACAGGAUUAGAUACCCCUGUAGUC
RNAcentral lists this ribosomal RNA (461 nucleotides) under uncultured bacterium. RNAcentral describes it as "partial 16S ribosomal RNA". It matches the Rfam family "Bacterial small subunit ribosomal RNA", at positions 338 to 795 of the family's 1533-position model. The record is from RNAcentral.